RNAcentral lists this ribosomal RNA (494 nucleotides) under uncultured bacterium. RNAcentral's name for it is "partial 16S ribosomal RNA". It matches the Rfam family "Bacterial small subunit ribosomal RNA", at positions 28 to 507 of the family's 1533-position model. The record is from RNAcentral.
GACGAACGCUGGCGGCGUGCCUAAUACAUGCAAGUCGAGCGGACUUAAAAAGCUUGCUUUUUAAGUUAGCGGCGGACGGGUGAGUAACACGUGGGCAACCUGCCUGUAAGACUGGGAUAACUUCGGGAAACCGGAGCUAAUACCGGAUAAUCCUUUUCUACUCAUGUAGAAAAGCUGAAAGACGGUUUACGCUGUCACUUACAGAUGGGCCCGCGGCGCAUUAGCUAGUUGGUGAGGUAACGGCUCACCAAGGCGACGAUGCGUAGCCGACCUGAGAGGGCGAUCGGCCACACUGGGACUGAGACACGGCCCAGACUCCUACGGGAGGCAGCAGUAGGGAAUCUUCCGCAAAGGACGAAAGUCUGACGGAGCAACGCCGCGUGAGUGAUGAAGGUUUUCGGAUCGUAAAACUCUGUUGUUAGGGAAGAACAAGUACGAGAGUAACUGCUCGUACCUUGACGGUACCUAACCAGAAAGCCACGGCUAACUACGUG